This 251-nucleotide ribosomal RNA is filed under the name uncultured bacterium. Its description in RNAcentral is "partial 16S ribosomal RNA". It matches the Rfam family "Bacterial small subunit ribosomal RNA", at positions 524 to 776 of the family's 1533-position model. The record is from RNAcentral.
UACGUAGGGGGCCAGCGUUGUCCGGACUUACUGGGCGUAAAGCGCGCGCAGGCGGGUCGGUAUGUGCCGUGUGAAAGCGCCAUCAAUCGUGGCGAGGUCAUGGUAGACAGCCGACCUGGAGCCUCGGAGAGGUCGGUGGAAUUCCGGGUGGAGCGGUGAAAUGCGUAGAUAUCCGGAGGAACACCAGGGGCGAAAGCGGCCGACUGGCCGAGUGCUGACGCUGAGGCGCGAAGGCGUGGGGAGCAAACCGG